Molecule: RNA transcript, 5957 nt
Organism: Nomascus leucogenys (northern white-cheeked gibbon)
Lineage: Eukaryota; Metazoa; Chordata; Mammalia; Primates; Hylobatidae
Gene: VWDE
Gene name: von Willebrand factor D and EGF domains
Exons: 30
Source: RefSeq, a predicted model, not a curated record
AUGGGAAGGGAGGAGUCGCAGAUGGACUGCGCGAAGGCUCUAUCCCAAAAAAGGACUGGCUGCGCCCCAGAACGAGGACGCGGAGCUUCCCUGUUCCAAGCAGGAGCAGACUGAGAAAAUCCAAGAAAGGAGGCCCGAGGGGCUGCGGUGGUCCCAUCCUCCUGGCACCCGCGGCCCGGGCUCUGCGACGCCCUUCGCCCCACCCGCGGAAGCAGCGAUGCCUGGCGGAGCCUGGGCGCUGGCGACCGCGCUGAUGCUUCUGGCCCCGGGGGAAGCUCAGGAGUGCUCUCCUGGGGGACACCAGUUUCUUCGGAGUCCUUAUAGAAGUGUCCAUUUUGACUCAUGGCACCUCCAGCAGUCAGCUGUUCAAGACCUAAUAUGUGACCACUCCCUCACCCCUGGAUGGUAUAGAUUUCUCAUCUUUGACAGACCUGCCGAGAUGCCAACCAAAUGUGUUGAGACGAACCAUUGUGGAACUCAGGCCCCCGUCUGGCUGUCUCUGAGAGAUUCAGAAACACUGCCAUCUCCUGGGGAGAUCAAGCAAUUGACAGCUUGUGCAACAUGGCAGUUUUUGUUUAGCACUACAAAAGACUGCUGUCUCUUUCAAAUCCCCGUGUCUGUAAGAAACUGUGGGAACUUUUUUGUAUACUUACUACAACCAACUCAGGGAUGUAUGGGCUAUUGUGCGGAAGCUAUUUCUGAUGCACAAUUACACCCAUGUGGUUCUGAUGAAACUGAAAUAGGAGGUGAUUGUGUUCGUCAGCUGGCUGCCUCAUUGCCACCUCCACCCGCAGGAAGGCCAGAGGUUCUGGUGGAGUUGAUUGAGUCCAGGCUUUUCUGUAGGUGUUCUUUUGAUGUUCCCCCUACAAACAACUCAGUGGGAUUUCACAUAGCUUGGUCUAGGCUUUCUUCUCAAGAAGUCAAAGAGGAGCUGAAACAAGAGACCACAGUUCAGGCAUUCUCUCUUUUAGAACUUGAUGGCAUAAAUCUCAGACUUGGAGACAGGAUAUUCUGCAGCGCUUCUGUCUUUUUCUUGGAGAAUCCUCAUGUACAAAGUGUAGCGAUUGAAAGCCAAGAAUUUUUUGCAGGCAUUAAGCUACAGCCUGAAUUGAGCACUAUAUCAGAGGAUGGGAAAGAAUACUACCUGAAGAUAGAAAGUACAGUUCCUAUUAUUUGUUCUGAAUUUAGUGAGCUUGGUCAAGAAUGCAAAAUCUCAUUAAAACUGAAAACUAUUGAUCAAGGUAGAGAGCACCUAGGCUUAAAUUUGGCACUGUCUUCCUGUCAUGUGGACCUUCUCCAGACAUCUUCCUGUGCUAAUGGAACCUGUAGCCACACUUUUGUGUACUACACUGCUGUCACAGAUUUUUCUCGAGAUGGAGAUAGAGUUACAAACAUUGUAGUGCAACCAAUAGUUAAUGAGGAUUUCCUGUGGAACAACUACAUUCCAGACAGCAUCCAGAUCAAAGUAAAGGAUGUCCCAACUGCUUACUGCUAUUCAUUUACUGACCCACAUAUAAUUACAUUUGAUGGCAGGGUAUAUGAUAAUUUCAAGACUGGAACAUUUGUGCUUUAUAAGAGUAUGUCACGUGAUUUUGAAGUCCAUGUACGUCAAUGGGACUGCGGAAGCCUUCACUAUCCAGUGUCAUGUAACUGUGGGUUUGUUGCCCAGGAAGGAGGUGAUAUAGUUACUUUUGAUAUGUGCAAUGGUCAGCUACGUGAAUCACAACCAUAUUUAUUUGUAAAAAGCCAAGAUGUAACCAGGAAUAUCAAGAUAAGUGAAUCUUACUUAGGAAGAAAAGUCACAAUCUGGUUUUCUUCUGGGGCAUUCAUCCGUGCUGAUCUUGGUGAAUGGGGCAUGAGUCUAACGAUCAGAGCCCCUAGUGUAGAUUACAGAAACACUCUGGGACUUUGUGGAACCUUUGACGAAAAUCCAGAAAAUGAUUUCCAUGACAAAAAUGGGAUCCAAAUUGAUCAAAAUUUUAACAAUUAUGUUGCUUUUAUUAAUGAAUGGAGGAUUUUACCAGGAAAAAGCAUGUUUGACACACUGCCAAUUUCUAUGACGUCACCUGGAAAGCCAUCCUACUGUAGCUGUUCAUUGGACACUGCAGCGUAUCCGUCUUCCGAUGAUCUGGACAGUGUUUCUCAAUCAGAAAUUGCCUUGGGUUGCAAAGACAUCAGUCAUGUCAGCUUAUCUUCUUUGAUACCAGCACUAGAUGUCACCUCUGAAUAUAUUAAUUCAGACACUCUUUUCAGAGAGAUAAACAAGCAUACAUCUCCAGAAGAAUAUAAUCUAAAUUUCUUUCCACAAGAAAAAAAACACAUAAACCUGACUAAACGAGGCUUAAAUGUACAAAAACAUCCUGGAAAUGAGAAACAAGAUGCACUAAAAUAUUUGGACAAUAAGAAAUAUACACAAGGCCGGGGAAGCCACAGCCAAGAAAUGAGGUACAAUCGACAAAACAGAUGGAAACGGCAAAACUUUUAUGAGUUUCUUCCUUUGUUUGCUUUCCCGAGUCUCAGCCAAACGGAUCUGGAAGAACUUACUUAUUUUUUCCCAGAGGACCAUGCUGAGGAUGUACAGCAAGAGUUUUUCCCCUCUUGGCCCACACCCUCUGGCAUCACUGAGUAUAGCACCUUGACCCUCUGUCAGCAGACUCUAGCCAACUCCAGCAUAGGAAGGCUCUGUCUUGCUUUUCUUGGCAAGAGAGUAGACAGUGUUAUAGAUAUGUGUGUGAAGGAUGUUCUGUUAAAAGAUGAUCUUAGCUGGGCAGAAGCAGGUGUGGCUCUUUUAGAAAAUGAAUGUGAAAAGAGGAUUGUGGAGGAGGGGAAAUAUAACACAGAAGAGUAUGGCACAUCAAUUGAAGACAUUCUCUUAGUAUUAAAAUGCCCCAAUUUAUGCAGCGGCAAUGGGCAGUGUAUGGAAUGGGGGUGUGCAUGUUCCCCAAGCUUUAGUUCCUAUGAUUGCAGUGAUUCCCAUGACAAAGCUCCUGAAAUUACAGAGCUUGGGAAUGCUGGAUUCUGUGAUGUUCAAAAAUAUAAUUGUAUGAUGGUGAGAGUUUUUGGCAGAGGCUUCAAAGAAUUACCUUCAAUUAAAUGUGAAGUUACUAAGCUACAGUAUAAUAGCAGUGAAUGGAUGCCUGGAGAACCCAUCUAUACACAGACUAUUUUCCAAAAUAGCAGAGCUGUUGAUUGUCAGCUGCCCACUGAUGUUCAGCAGUUUGAUACCAUGGAUCUGGUGGGUGGGAAACCAACUGGGAAGUGGCAGUUGAAGGUAUCUAAUGAUGGUUAUAAAUUCAGUAAUCCCAAAAUAAUGGUCAUAUAUGAUGGUGCUUGCCAAGUUUGUGGUCUCUAUAAAAAUGACUCAUGUACUAUAAAGGAAAAUGUUUGCAUUAUUGAGGGACUCUGCUAUGUUGAAGGAGACAAAAAUCCAACCAGCCCUUGUUUGAUCUGUAGACCUCAAAUUUCAAGAUUUACUUGGUCAUUUUUAGAAAACAACCAGCCCCCAGUGAUUCAAGCAUUGCAAGACAAAUUACAGACAUUUUAUGGUGAAAACUUUGAGUAUCAGUUCAUGGCCUUCGAUCCAGAAGGUUCUGACAUCCAUUUUACGCUGGACUCUGGUCCUGAAGGGGCAAGUGUUUCCUCUGCAGGGCUUUUUAUGUGGAAAACAGAGUUACUAACUCCCCAACAAUUUACUCUACGCCUUAAUGAUGACUGCGAUGCUGAAACUAGAGUCAUGAUUGAGGUGACUGUGAAGUCUUGUGAUUGCUUGAAUGGUGGAUCAUGUGUGUCUGAUAGGAACUUUUCUCCUGGGAGUGGAGUGUAUCUGUGUGUCUGCUUGCCUGGCUUCCAUGGCAGCCUUUGUGAAGUGGACAUUAGUGGGUGCCAAUCCAACCCUUGUGGUCUUGGCAGCUGUAUUAGUGGUUUUCACAGUUAUUCCUGUGAUUGUCCACCUGAGCUCAAAGGCAAAAAUUGCCAGGAAGAUGUUGAUGAGUGUGACUCCAAGCCUUGCUUUGAGGGAGUAGAAUGCCUGAAUACCUUUGGUUCCUAUCAUUGUGGUUCAUGUCCAAAAGGAUUUUAUGGGGAUGGAAAAAUAUGCCAUGGUAAGAGUUCCUAUUUUCUGCUAUGAGAUUGUUUAUGCUGCAUUUGAUUAUUUUUAAUAGCAUAAUUUCUGUUUUUGACUCAUGUAUUUAUUCAGUGUAAAUGCAUUAAGUGUCAUGCAUUGAACUAGAUACAAAGGAUGCAAAAAUAUUUAAGACGUGUUCUCUGACUUAAUAGGUAGAGUGUAACAGCAGGGAAUAUGACUAGUAGUUACAGAGUACAAUGAAGUGUUCUGUGUCUUUUGAUAGAAAUCACAAAAGGGCUAGUAGGAAUACUACACAGGGAAUCUUAUCUACCUGGAGAAAUAAUGAAAAACUUUUAAAAAAGGAAGUGACUAGACUAUACUAGACACAUGAGAACUGAAUCUGAUAGAUCAAGAGAGAGAAAGGCAUUCCAGGCAAAACCAACAGCAGGAGCAAAGGGACAGAAGCAGGUAACAUCACAGCACUCCUUGGGCAGCCACAGUGAAUAGUUCAGCGUGCCUGGAAUAUAGGAAGAAAGGGGAGCUGCUACAAGAGUUGGAGUUAGAGAGUUGAAACACAGUUUUUAAAUAAAUUUACUACACAAACUGUGGUUCUCACAAGAUCUGAUAAAAGUGUAAAUAAGGAAGAGGAUGAUAAAAAUGACCAAGGGAGAAAGAGGCAUGUUAAGCCAACAAGCGGAAAUGCCCUCACCAUUUGUAGAUAUCCAUGUGGGAAAAGUAGGGAGUGUGUUGCCCCAAACAUCUGCAAAUGUAAACCUGGUUACAUUGGUUCUAACUGCCAAACUGCUGUUUGUGACCCUGAUUGUAAAAACCAUGGAAAAUGUAUUAAGCCUAACAUUUGUCAAUGUCUUCCAGGACAUGGCGGAGCAACCUGUGAUGAAGAACAUUGUAACCCACCUUGUCAACAUGGUGGCACAUGCUUGGCUGGGAAUCUCUGCACUUGUCCUUAUGGUUUUGUAGGACCAAGGUGUGAAACAAUGGUUUGUAACAGGCACUGUGAAAAUGGAGGCCAGUGUCUUACACCAGAUAUUUGCCAGUGCAAACCUGGCUGGUAUGGACCCACCUGUAGUACAGCUUUGUGUGACCCUGUUUGCCUCAAUGGUGGUUCGUGUAACAAGCCAAACACUUGCCUCUGUCCAGAUGGAUUCUUUGGGGAACAGUGUCAGAAUGCUUUCUGUCACCCUCCCUGUAAGAAUGGUGGCCACUGCAUGAGAAAUAAUGUGUGCGUCUGUCGUGAAGGAUACACUGGUAGGAGAUGCCAAAAAAGCAUCUGUGAUCCUAUGUGCAUGAAUGGAGGAAAAUGUGUGGGACCAAGCACUUGCUCUUGUCCUUCUGGUUGGAGUGGGAAACGAUGCAACACACCUAUCUGCUUGCAGAAAUGUAAAAACGGUGGUGAAUGCAUUGUGCCCAGCAUAUGCCAUUGUCCUUCCUCCUGGGAAGGAGUGCAGUGUCAAAUACCAAUUUGCAACCCAAAAUGUCUUUAUGGAGGCAGAUGCAUAUUUCCCAAUGUGUGUUCCUGCCGCACAGAAUACUCUGGAGUCAAAUGUGAGAAGAAAAUACAGAUAAGACGCCAUUGAGUAGCAUCGAGUAUAUGAAUUACAAGCCUGUAUCUUAAGAACGGAAAUGUUUUGUUCAGAAAAAGUUGGGGAUAACUUGAAGUUUAUUUGAACAUCAUUCAAAAAAUAUCUUAAAGGCUGAAGAAACUAAUAAAGUACAUAAUGAUCUCAGUUGUAAUCAUUAGAGAAAAGCAGAGAAGAAAUCCAGGUAAUCUAAAUUUGAUGCUGAGAUGGGAUAGGAUAUUUACAUAUUGAGAUGACGUAUCUGAUAUUCCAUCCAUUCACAAUAUUUAAUAAACUGAAUAUUUUCUCAGCCCUAA